GUCAUGAUGUACCGCAGACCAAUGGCAACAUGAGCGACGUCACGCAUCGUGCCAACGCGCGCGCGCGCUCACUCGGUCGUCCGCUGCAUGCCGAAACGUAAUCGUGUAAGCAAUAAGCAAACGAAACGAAACGAAAACGCGCGCAGCGCGUCGUCGUCGUGUCGAGAGUUGUUCCCAGCACCAGCCAGCAGAGCCAGCCAGCCAACUAUCGACAGCGUGGGGUCUGUUGACACGUUGCGCGUUGCCGCAAUUCGGCGCAGUUUUACAUCUGUCAAAAUUCUGCAAAUGAAGUUCAAGAACAUUCGAGAUGACGCAUAUCCCAUGUCCGGCAUGACCAACAUAGUAAAUUCCGUAUAAACACAGCCGCAGCAGUUACACGGGCAGUUUUUGUGUUUGGGUGCGGGUGGGAGGAGUGCUUUCACCGCCGCCGCCGCCGUUACCGCCGCCCGGGACACGACGUAAGCUCCGCACUCGCCGCUUCCUCGGAUCAAUACCAGCGGUUGAGCAUCAUGCAAUGUGACGCAACAAGCCCACCACCGCCGCCGCCGCCGCCACCAUGCACACGAAAGUGGAGCGUUCGCCGAUAACAGCGUGUAAAAAUACACGCAUCAUGUUUGAAAAAGCACGGAAUGCCCCAUUUAUUGCAUGCCACCGUAGAUUUUUGCCCCAAACCGAGUCAACUCGUUCAUUUAUUCAACAACAGUGAUAAGGUAUCACAGCGCACACGUAAAAGUAUAUAGAUAUUAGUUUACAUAUUGGACUUGGAAUUAGAAUUGGAGUAGUUAUCAGCCGUCGAAGUCGUGGCUGGCAGUGAUAACAACUUAUCAGUUGUACCAAUAUAUGCAUCGGUUGACAUUUUUAGACCACUGCAAAACCCACAACAUAAGUUGAUAUGAAAAAAGCAGCCGGCUGCUUGUAACUAAAAUAAUCUCUCAUUUAGGUUGAUUGUAUUGUCUCAGAGACACGUGAUUCAUUCGUGCCACCACUCACGUCACAUCACGAGCGCUUCACGGACAUGUUUUAACAAUUGACGUAACAACUCUGCUCUGCUCUCUGCAGUCAAGGGUGAUAGGCUUCUCUCAGUUAGUAAACAUUUCCAUACAACUCGGCAACAGAAUGUGUACCGUCUUAUCACUACGGUCCGGUUUCGUCAAAAUUUAUAAUAUUCAUGUCACAGUAUCCGAGUUUUGAUUUCGUUCUGACCCCGAAUGUGUGUUAAGUAAACAGACGCGCACACGCAUCCGAAUAUAGAGAAAAAAGCGCUCUGGAUGUGAUGACCGAUGCAUUCACUGGCGACGUAAACAAGCAAUACUAAUCGCUGGCAGACGAAAAAACGAACCGUUUUUAGCAGAGGAAUGAAAGUCGGUUACCAGUGGUGGUUAACAAACAACAGUUUGGCCAUGUGGGUGCCCACAUCAUGCGCACUCAUCUCAAAGUCCAGCAUCCGCAGGCGAACGAGUAAAAAUAAAAACGAUAUCAAAUUGAAGUCAUGCAGUCAGUGCAUUCGCAGACGCGUCGGGUCGAUACGAGAUCAAGCAUCAGCGCGCCGCGCGACGCUCGCCGGCGAGGGUGCAGUGAACGCGCAGUUAUCGAUCGCCGGGGUCGGGCCGGAUAGUCACAGAGUGGGAAGAGAGGUCGGACCCUCCUAGCCAUGAGCAACCAGCAUUACACCGCAUGCACAAACUGCAUCUAGUACAUAAAUAAUCUGUUAGAACAAAGCAGUGAAACACUCACACAGAUGACAGUCAUGUUGCUGAAACAUUCAACAAACUAACUUCAGGGGCUACAAUACACGAAACAAAUAGUAAAUUCAUAAUUAGAGUUCAUUAAGGCAUUAAAUAACAAUAUUUUGGAUGUUUAAACUCAAUAAGUCAUAGUUUCAUUCACUGCGCAUGUCAGAACAAAAUGGCUGCGUUUCAAGUGUCAAAUUGACAGUUUUUCAUAGUUUUUCAAGUAUUAAACUCGAAAAAAAAUUGCGACAUGUUCAACAAACUCAAGAUUUGCCAGUUGCAACAUUGAUGUUCAAUAAUUGCGUCAUUGCUAAGUGAUAACAGGUGUAAAUAUGAUAAGAGACAGUUCUACCAUUAUUAUCUGCAUCUGCUGUAUAUUUACACUAAACUAACCUAACUUUUUUACAAGUUAAAAAAAGUUAAUGAAGAGUUUGCGGUUUCUGAUGUUUCCAUCUGCACAAAA
Molecule: long non-coding RNA, 2193 nt
Organism: Dalotia coriaria
Lineage: Eukaryota; Metazoa; Arthropoda; Insecta; Coleoptera; Staphylinidae
Exons: 2
Source: RefSeq, a predicted model, not a curated record